RNAcentral lists this ribosomal RNA (457 nucleotides) under uncultured bacterium. Its description in RNAcentral is "bacterial SSU rRNA". It matches the Rfam family "Bacterial small subunit ribosomal RNA", at positions 340 to 786 of the family's 1533-position model. The record is from RNAcentral.
UACGGGAGGCAGCAGUGGGGAAUAUUGCACAAUGGGCGCAAGCCUGAUGCAGCCAUGCCGCGUGUAUGAAGAAGGCCUUCGGGUUGUAAAGUACUUUCAGCGGGGAGGAAGGCGGUGAAGUUAAUAGCUUCACCGAUUGACGUUACCCGCAGAAGAAGCACCGGCUAACUCCGUGCCAGCAGCCGCGGUAAUACGGAGGGUGCAAGCGUUAAUCGGAAUUACUGGGCGUAAAGCGCACGCAGGCGGUCUGUCAAGUCGGAUGUGAAAUCCCCCGGGCUUAACCUGGGAACUGCAUUCGAAACUGGCAGGCUAGAGUCUUGUAGAGGGGGUAGAAUUCCAGGUGUAGCGGUGAAAUGCGUAGAGAUCUGGAGGAAUACCGGUGGCGAAGGCGGCCCCUGGGACAAAGACUGACGCUCAGGUGCGAAAGCGUGGGGAGCGAAACAGGGAUUAGGAUACC